Molecule: ribosomal RNA, 398 nt
Filed under: uncultured bacterium
Lineage: Bacteria
Description: bacterial SSU rRNA
Rfam family: Bacterial small subunit ribosomal RNA
Source: RNAcentral
AUUGAACGCUGGCGGUAGGCCUAACACAUGCAAGUCGAACGCGAAAGUCCUUCGGAUGAGUAGAGUGGCGGACGGGUGGAGUAACGCGUAGGAAUCUAUCCUGUAGUGGGGGAGUAACGUUUCGAAAGGAACGCUAAUAUCGCAUACGCCCCAAGGGGGAAAGGCGGGGAGUCUUCGGACCUCGUGCUAUAGGAGGAGCCUGCGUCGGAUUAGCUAGUUGGUGAGGUAAAGGCUCACCAAGGCGACGAUCCGUAGCUGGUCUGAGAGGAUGAUCAGCCACACCGGAACUGAGACACGGUCCGGACUCCUACGGGAGGCAGCAGUGGGGAAUAUUGCGCAAUGGGCGAAAGCCUGACGCAGCCAUACCGCGUGUGUGAAGAAGGCCUCGGUUGUAAGAC